CUUCAGUACUGAGAAUGUUCCCUACAUUUCAGCCACUGUUUUUAAAAUAUUGUUCAGUACUGGGAAUGUUCCCUACGUUUCAGUCACUGUCUGGUAAAUAUGGUUCAGUACUGGGAAUGUUCCCUACGUUUCAGUCACUGUCUGAUAAAUAUGGUUCAGUACUGAGAAUGUUCCCUAUGUUUCAGGCACUGUCUGGUAAAUAUGGUUCAGUACUGGGAAUGUUCCCUACGUUUCAGUCACUGUCUGGUAAAUAUGGUUCAGUACUGGGAAUGUUCCCUACGUUUCAGUCACUGUCUGGUAAAUAUGGUUCAGUACUGGGAAUGUUCCCUACGUUUCAGUCACUGUCUGGUAAAUAUGGUUCAGUACUGGGAAUGUUCCCUAUGUUUCAGUCAGUACUGGGAAUGUUCCCUAUGUUUCAGUCAGUACUGGGAAUGUUCCCUAUGUUUCAGUCAGUACUGGGAAUGUUCCCUAUGUUUCAGUCAGUACUGGGAAUGUUCCCUACGUUUCAGUCAGUGUCUGGUAAAUAUGGUUCUGUACUGGGAAUGUUCCCUACGUUUCAGUCACUGUCUGGUAAAUAUGGUUCUGUACUGGGAAUGUUCCCUACGUUUCAGUCACUGUCUGGUAAAUAUGAUUCAGUACUGGGAAUGUUCCCUACGUUUCAGUCACUGUCUGGUAAAUAUGAUUCAGUACUGGGAAUGUUCCCUACGUUUCAGUCAGUACUGGGAAUGUU
RNAcentral lists this long non-coding RNA (730 nucleotides) under Salmo salar (Atlantic salmon). RNAcentral's name for it is "lncRNA (ENSSSAG00000113945.1)". Lineage: Eukaryota; Metazoa; Chordata; Actinopteri; Salmoniformes; Salmonidae. The record is from RNAcentral.